Non-coding RNA from Anas platyrhynchos (mallard), 799 nucleotides. Lineage: Eukaryota; Metazoa; Chordata; Aves; Anseriformes; Anatidae. The record is from RefSeq and is a predicted model, not a curated record.
CAAUUUUCAUGUUUUCAUUGGCUCUUACUCUUUCAGAGAGACGAAGUAGCCUACAUCCUAGAAACAAGAUUUAAGAAUUGACUCAAGAAAAACAGGGGCCUUUUGUCAAACACUCUGACUGUAGGAAUAAUAUUGCAAAAGAAAAUUGGUCAUUUCCAGCACAGUGAUCACACUAAUAUAGUACAUACAUGUAUCAGUCCCAUCAUCUUCUCACACUUCUGAAAAACUAUUUUGAGUGAUGAAGAGCACUGCAACCAAGGUAUCACUUCUACAGGACAAUUCUUCAUGUGUCAUGAAGAUUCUAACAUUAGAAUCUAUUAAUCUGAAUGGAGAAUGCAGCCUAAAAUUAGUUACAAAUCAUCUGCAUCUGUAAGCACACUCAUACACAAGUUCAAAAUCUGUAUUCCUACAUUCCGUGCCUGAAAUAAAAUAAAAUAAAAUAAAAAUUAAAUUAAAUUAAAUUAAAAAUAAAGGAACAAUGUCUGCACAUAUGAAAUGUGUAAAAUGAUUUGAAGAAGUUGCUGCUAAUAUACAUUCUGCUGUUUAAAAGCAUUACCUCCCUGGGUAGUACUAUUCCACUUAAUACUCCAUUUUCACUUACUUGGAUUAAAAGCAAACAGUAUCCAAAUAUGAAAAAAAAUAUAUAUAUGUUUCAGCCUGAAGAAUCAUUGAUAAAUACAUAGCUACUGCUCUGAGAUAGAGAUAGUUGGUAUGUAAAUCAAAAUAAUUUAAAUAAUUUCACUAGAAAGAAGCUUUGAGGUUGUUUUAGUCUAAUGGUUUAACAAUUUAACAUAUUAAC